AAGACCUUGCGCUUUUGGAGCGGCCGAUGUCUGAUUAGCUUGUUGGUAAGGUAAAAGCUUACCAAGGCUUCGAUCAGUAGCUGGUCUGAGAGGACGACCAGCCACACUGGGACUGAGACACGGCCCAGACUCUUACGGGAGGCAGCAGUGGGGAAUUUUGGACAAUGGGGGCAACCCUGAUCCAGCCAUGCCGCGUGAGUGAAGAAGGCCUUCGGGUUGUAAAGCUCUUUCAGCCGGAACGAAACGGUUACGGUUAAUACCCGUGACUACUGACGGUACCGGAAGAAGAAGCACCGGCUAACUACGUGCCAGCAGCCGCGGUAAUACGUAGGGUGCAAGCGUUAAUCGGAAUUACUGGGCGUAAAGCGUGCGCAGGUGGUUUUGUAAGUCAGAUGUGAAAUCCCCGGGCUUAACCUGGGAACU
This 423-nucleotide ribosomal RNA is filed under the name uncultured bacterium. Its description in RNAcentral is "bacterial SSU rRNA". It matches the Rfam family "Bacterial small subunit ribosomal RNA", at positions 207 to 622 of the family's 1533-position model. The record is from RNAcentral.